This is a long non-coding RNA of Cygnus olor (mute swan), 3868 nucleotides long. RefSeq lists it as uncharacterized. The transcript is spliced from 3 exons. Lineage: Eukaryota; Metazoa; Chordata; Aves; Anseriformes; Anatidae. The record is from RefSeq and is a predicted model, not a curated record.
GAGGGGUGGGAUGUGUUUUCAUAGGAUUUUGAUGUCUGGAUGCUGCUUGAGAUGAAACAGAAAUAAAAAAAGCUCCUCUGUAGAUGGCCUAAAACAAAGGAGCUGGCACUCCAGGAAACCUGGGCUGUUGGGGAGUUCCUGGUGACCCUUCUCACCUUCAGCAGAUGCAGGAACAGGCAAGACUCUGCUCUCCUGCAGAGUCCCAGUGUUCUGUAGGGCAAGAGAUGAAGCAAUGGAACAGAAAUGCUUCAUAAGAGAGAAGGUAUUGCAUGUGGAUGUGAGGCAUUAAAACCCAUUCAAGUUUGAGAGAGACUUUGCUACUUGUGCAGUCACAGCCUUAAAAGGGAGGCAGGAACUGGAAGAAGAAGAAGAAGAAAAAAUAAGAUCUGGAGAAAGCCAGGGGAUACAACUGAAAAAGUGUACAGUGAACUACCAAAAAAUGGAAAAGAAGAAAUAUUAGUCACACACAGCUUACUUCUAAAUUUUAGUGUCCUAGUGAAACAGUCCUCUAAACUUCAGUAGCUCCAUCACUCAACAAAGAGCAAUGGAAAGCAGGAGGUGUCUCUGCUGUUUCCCAGAGGGAGGUCUUGUCUGGCUGUGCUUAGGUGCAGUCAUUGGGUAGACAGGAGCUCACCAAGAGCAAGAUUACAAUAGGAAAGUGGGAAAAGGCAGAACAGAAAACAAAAGCAGAAGUGAAAUAAGCCUGCUAAGGAACAUAACAGGAGACAGGACAGAGCAAUGAGAUAAUGAAACAGAGAAUUGAACAGAGAAUGAGAUAAUGAAAUAUGAAUGAUACAAGAUGUGCAGGAGAAAGGAAAUCUUCAGGGAGAAGACUGACCAUGGAAAAGUCAGCUGCUGAAGAAAAAAGAGCAUAAUCCCAACUAAGCAGCUUGAAGAAAAUGGAGUAAACAGGUGGAAACCUUCUGGUUUAAACUUUGUUUUUUAAUGGUUUUUAAUACCAUUUUAAAAUGGUAUUUUAAACAUGACCACCUGGAGAGCAACAUCUUUUGCUCAUUUCUAUUUUAGUGCAAGAGAAUGAAAGGUUCUACUUACUCCUGACCUUCUGUUUGUCUUGGAAGUAAAUUCCCCAUAUAUUCUGUUUGCUUGAUGCAUUUGUAAAUGACUACCGUGAUCUUUUCAGCCUAAUCUUUGAAAGAGAGAAUUGAUGUGAACGUAUUCUCUCUGGAUCUGUGCCUCUGAGACGUGGAGGGAAAAAUAAAGCUUUGGUGACUAAGUAAGAGUCAUUUAAUUGAACGUGGUAAACCAAACCACAGCUCAACACUGGGGCAGUUGUCUUUUUUUCUCAAAUUUCAGUUUUAGUUUAAAAUUGUGAUCCCCUUCUCUAAUUUGCUUCCACUUUACUCCACUGAAAUUAAUAGCUUAGAAAUUCCUCAAGAGCCUUCUUGAAUUAUGUCUCUGUCCAUAUUCUGCCCUCAAGAAGGCUAAAGUGUUUGGUGUCUUCCUCUCAUUUGACCUGGACUGAAACCUCUGAAUGUGGGACGGGAUCUUUCCUCUAGCAGUUAAAUAGGAUCUCUGCUGGCUGCUGCCUCUACAAUCAGGGAAGAGAAGUGGCAGACAAUUCACUUUUAAGAGCACCUAUUUCUUUAUCGUAGAUGGAAGGCAUCUGAGGUCAAGAUCAGGUGUCCAGGUUUCAGGCAGGAUGAAUCUCACUCUGUGUUCCUGCCCCCAGAUACACUGAGUAGGCAAUCUCAGAGCAGAUCCAGUGCAUCCUGGCAGAACCAGGGAUGUCUAGGAACAGGAACAAGAACAAGAAGUAUAUCGCUGUCUGAGAGGGACGGGGCUGCCCAGAGAGGUUUGGAGCUACUUUAACCUGGGUUGCGUGAAGCCCAAGGAACCUCAUCUUGAUCAGAAGUUCACCCUGCUUUGAAAAGAGGGUUGGAGCAGCUGACAUCCAGGGGUCCCUUCCGGUCUGAAGUGCCCUCUGAGACUAUGAAGCCCACAUGUCCCUAGGGAGUACCCUGACUGGCAAGCUUUGUUGGAGAGGAGCGGAGCUGCAGAGCUUGCAGCUGAAGACACCAAACUGAAAUUGAAGUUGUGCGUGUCAGGGACAGCAUGGCUUGGGGGCCACUCAUUAGGAAGAGAAAUCCUAGAUUCUAGCUUGCCACACAACUCCUUUUGUACCUUAUCUUCAAUUAGUCAUUAAGUCUACAGCAAAGAAGGGAAACAGUCAAAAUUUAGCCCAGGUUUCUUGACGUUUGUGUGACAUCUGGCUGUGGAGAUCUGUUACAGGAGAUUUGUCCUGCCUAGUCUUUAGUCUAGGUAAGAUACUCUUGUCAAGGUUCUAAGCCCUCUAGCAUUAAAAAAAAAAAAAAAAAAAAAGAAAUGGGGGGGGGGGAUGAUGAGGAGUUAUCUGCAUCUACCACAUAAAAGAACUCUAGCAGUGCGCCCUUCUCAGCCUCUUAGUCUUUUGAAGUAAAGGGUGACAACAUUUAUCCUUCAGGACAGUCUUAUGGGCUGCAUAUCUGGAAUAGGUAGUAAUAUCUCAAUGCACAGCUGAAUAAGGUACCUGAGUGAUGAGGCUGAAUAUUUCAUUUGUGCAAGUUUUAGCUUCUGGCUCAUACAAACUGGCCUUUUUGGAUCCCUUUGGAAGGUACCUACUUUUGCUCAUGACAAAAAUUUACCCAGUUCUGGAUUUUACUCUGGAGGACCAGGGGCCUCAAAACUGACCAUGAAGCACCAAGGUUUUUGGUCAGACCCGAGCUUGAGAGCAUGGCUUCAUGUUCUCCAUCCAAAAACAGAGACCUACCUAAGAGGUUUCUGUUAAUCUUCUCCUCAUGGAAGGUGCUCCAGUGUCAAUUGCACCAGUCCUGCUCCUUUUCUUUUUUCAUGAGUGACCUUUCAAUACUACUGCAGUACAAUCUAUAGCAUGUCUAACCAUAGCUAACAUUUGAAUCAUAUGCUGCAGCAUUGGAAAGUUGUGAGAAAAAGGAAAAUAAAAUAAUAAUACGCAGUAAUAUCAAUUUUUUUGAGUACAAGCAGAUCCUUCCUUCCUGUACACCAAGGGCAAAAUUCAAAUUUCUUCAGAAAGAAACAUUGAUGAUUAAAGGCUUGUUGGCAGUAGAGCCACAGAGGCUAAUUACGAAUUCUCUAUGUUGUACUCCUCACUGCUCAUUCAGAUAGCUGGCUGGCAUCAUGGAAAGACUGUAACAUCCUAGAUCAAGAAGCAAGGAAGGAGAAGAUUCAAGGCUUGAAUAUAACACAUCUUAUCAAUUUAUAAAUGGCAAGUCUUGCCAUGGAAGUAGACAGAGCAUAAUCUGAUAGUGGGAUUGUUUAUUUUUUUUUGUGUAUAUUUUGGCCAUGGAACAUACAUCCCAAUGACAAAAGACAUUCAGCAGUUCUUUAAUAAUGGAUGUCUAUGAGUGCCAUACAUGGGCUUCUGGACAUCUGAAAGCUUACCUGUUUCUUCCUUUUUCUAGCUAUAAAAGUUGUUUGUGUACAUAAAGGACAUAAAACAACACAGUUAUCUUCCCUAUAGACAGACUGAUUUUGUAGAAAGGUAUCUAUGGCAUGUUCCAGGCUGUGUUAACCUUUUUGCGUCUAAAAGACAACUGAUCCUUCUCACCCUCCAGCAGGUUUGAUGCUCAAAAAGAGUUUGAUACUUUUAUGCUGUUGCAGUCAUGUGUGACAGUAGGACUUUCUAUUCUGAAGCUCCUUAAAAAGAGCAUAUUGCUAUAUUGCUUCUCACUUAUGAAUUCAUAGCACAGACAUAAUGGAUGAGACUGGAUAAAAUACUUGCCCAAAACGGGAGCAUUCUUGCAUAGCAACAAUGGGCUUGUGAAAGAGCUGAGCUGCCUUAAAGGUCCAUUCUCAUGAGAACAGCAAACUUCAGCCUUUGAGAAACAGUGUU